UCUUUGGUGUCUGAGGAUUCAGAUCAGAGUCUAGUAGAAUAAACAGCUAGAUAAGUAAGUAAAUGAACAUUAUUAUGAGGAACUGACAUGGAAAGAUGAGCACCAUGUUACAGAAGCUCUGUAAGCUACACAACACUACCAUCAUUUGCUGACAACUAUUACCAUCUAUCAAGAUUACAUGUCCUUGAAAAUUAAAGUGAUCAUAUUAACCUAAUUAUUACUCUAAUCUAUGCUAAAUUUUGGUAUGACACAGAUGUACUACUUGACUUUGCCUUCAUUAUGCUUCCCAGCUUGAUCUUGCCCCUC
This is a long non-coding RNA of Rhincodon typus (whale shark), 306 nucleotides long. RefSeq lists it as uncharacterized. The record is from RefSeq and is a predicted model, not a curated record. The transcript is spliced from 3 exons. Lineage: Eukaryota; Metazoa; Chordata; Chondrichthyes; Orectolobiformes; Rhincodontidae.